This 378-nucleotide ribosomal RNA is filed under the name Strombidiidae sp. Its description in RNAcentral is "partial small subunit ribosomal RNA". It matches the Rfam family "Eukaryotic small subunit ribosomal RNA", at positions 582 to 975 of the family's 1831-position model. The record is from RNAcentral. Lineage: Eukaryota; Ciliophora; Spirotrichea; Strombidiidae.
AUUCCAGCUCCAAUAGCGUAUAUUAAAGUUGUUGCAGUUAAAAAGCUCGUAGUUGGAUUUCUGACAGGGGGCCGAACACCACUGUAGUGAGUGUUUUGGUACCUGUCAUCCUUCUGUUAACCCUAGCGUCAUUCAUUUGUCGUUGGGCGGACCAGAUACUUUACCUUGAGAAAAUUAGAGUGUUUCAGGCAGGCCUAGCCGGAAUACAUUAGCAUGGAAUAAUGGAAUAGGACUAUAGUCUCGUCGUUGGUUACGUGGACUGCAGUAAUGAUUAAUAGGGAUAGUUGGGGGCAUUAGUAUUUAAUUGUCAGAGGUGAAAUUCUUGGAUUAGUUAAAGACUAACGUAUGCGAAAGCAUUUGCCAAGGAUGUUUUCAUCA